This 132-nucleotide small nucleolar RNA is filed under the name Carlito syrichta (Philippine tarsier). RNAcentral describes it as "Small nucleolar RNA SNORA72 (ENSTSYG00000031524.1)". It matches the Rfam family "Small nucleolar RNA SNORA72". Rfam says of the family: U72 is a member of the H/ACA class of snoRNAs. The snoRNA gene is located in intron 4 of the ribosomal L30 protein gene in human, mouse and chicken. Lineage: Eukaryota; Metazoa; Chordata; Mammalia; Primates; Tarsiidae. The record is from Rfam by way of RNAcentral.
CUGCGAAUAUUCUUGCUGUUCUGAUUUUAUGAUAGCCAGGACAGGCUAAACAUUUGCUAUAACAAGGCCAUACACGUGUCCCCAGACCUAGUUCUUUCUGUGGGUCUAGUUUUAUAAAUGCUAGUGAUAGAC